GGAACAGCGAGGGAGGGGAUCCAAGAGUAAGCAGGGUUCCUGAAGGGUGCAGAGCUACAGGAAACGGAGGAGGAACAAGGAUGACGACAUCAGGAGGAGGGCCACAGGCGUGGAGCUACAGGAAGCGGAGAAGGAACAAGGAUGACGACAUCAGGAGGGCCCCAGGUGCGGAGCUACAGGAAGCGGAGGAGGAACAAGGAUGACGACAUGAGGAGGAGGGCCCCAGGCGCGGAGCUACAGGAAGCCAAGGAGGUUACAAUUGCAGCGGAACAGCGAGGGAGGGGAUCCAAGAGUAAGCAGGGUUCCUGAAGGGUGCAGAGCUACAGGAAACGGAGGAGGAACAAGGAUGACGACAUCAGGAGGAGGGCCACAGGCGUGGAGCUACAGGAAGCGGAGAAGGAACAAGGAUGACGACAUCAGGAGGGCCCCAGGUGCGGAGCUACAGGAAGCGGAGGAGGAACAAGGAUGACGACAUGAGGAGGAGGGCCCCAGGCGCGGAGCUACAGGAAGCCAAGGAGGUUACAAAAACAAAGGAGAAGAAGCAGCACCCAGUGCAGUAGGGAGGUUUAUUCCCCCCAGUGUCAGACAGCUCUGGACUGGAGUGCUGCCCCCGCUCGUUGGUUAUGGACUGGUGAGAGCUGAAUCUGCACCCAUCACCUGCUUUGGCCACAGUGCCACUUCAUACUUUCAGUUUACUUCUUUCAUUUUCAGUAUAUUGACACAUGCCAGAUUUGUUGCACACAUUUUGACGACUGUAUUAUUCUU
Long non-coding RNA from Bufo gargarizans (Asiatic toad), 765 nucleotides. RefSeq lists it as uncharacterized. The transcript has 3 exons. Lineage: Eukaryota; Metazoa; Chordata; Amphibia; Anura; Bufonidae. The record is from RefSeq and is a predicted model, not a curated record.